AUUAACGCUGGCGGUAUGUAUAAUACAUGCAAGUCGAGUGGGUUUAGACCCACGGCGAACGGCUGAGUAACACGUUGGUAGUUACCUCGCACUCGGGGAUAACCUUUAGAAAUAGGGGAUAAUACCGGAUGGUCCCGAAAGGGUAAAGAUUUAUCGGUGCGAGAGACGCAUGCGGCCUAUCAGCUUGUUGGUGAGGUAAAAGCUCACCAAGGCUAUGACGGGUAGCGGUUCUGAGAGGAUGAUCCGCCACACUGGUACUGAGACACGGACCAGACUCCUACGGGAGGCAGCAGUGAGGAAUAUUGCACAAUGGGGGCAACCCUGAUGCAGCAACGCCGCGUGGAUGAUGAUGCAUUUCGGUGUGUAAACUCCUUUUAUAUGUCAAGAAAAUGACGGUAGCAUAUGAAUAAGCACCGGCUAACUCCGU
RNAcentral lists this ribosomal RNA (427 nucleotides) under uncultured bacterium. Its description in RNAcentral is "bacterial SSU rRNA". It matches the Rfam family "Bacterial small subunit ribosomal RNA", at positions 29 to 506 of the family's 1533-position model. The record is from RNAcentral.